Molecule: long non-coding RNA, 266 nt
Filed under: Eucalyptus grandis
Lineage: Eukaryota; Viridiplantae; Streptophyta; Magnoliopsida; Myrtales; Myrtaceae
Description: long non-coding RNA (EGRA_LNC005061)
Source: RNAcentral
GAGUACAUAAUCAUUAAAAUAACAAUCAAUAACCAAGGAAAUGUUAAAUAAGUUGCGUGGGAGAGGAGGAAUCUAAUGUCACUAAAUAAGGGGCAUGCCGUUUCCAAUUAUGCUAAAGGGAGGCCACGGUUGUCAUAUUGAAAGUACACAAUCAAGAAUGUUUGUUUCUGAAAACAAAUGAAACCCUAUGAUAAAGCUCUAAGAACUAGUUCAACUUUGGAGUAUGAUUUUUAUUGAUGAUGUUUCCACAAUUUAAGAGAAAAUUG